GGUCAAGCUACAAAGGGCUAACGGUGGAUUCCUAGGCACACAGAG
This 45-nucleotide ribosomal RNA is filed under the name Limnospira platensis J12. Its description in RNAcentral is "Arthrospira platensis J12 partial 23S ribosomal RNA". The record is from RNAcentral. Lineage: Bacteria; Bacillati; Cyanobacteriota; Cyanophyceae; Oscillatoriales; Sirenicapillariaceae.